RNAcentral lists this ribosomal RNA (400 nucleotides) under uncultured bacterium. Its description in RNAcentral is "bacterial SSU rRNA". It matches the Rfam family "Bacterial small subunit ribosomal RNA", at positions 355 to 772 of the family's 1533-position model. The record is from RNAcentral.
UGGGGAAUAUUGGACAAUGGGGGAAACCCUGAUCCAGCGAUGCCGCGUGAGUGAAGAAGGCCCUCGGGUUGUAAAGCUCUUUCAGUGGAGAAGAUGAUGACGGUACCCACAGAAGAAGCACCGGCUAACUCCGUGCCAGCAGCCGCGGUAAUACGGAGGGUGCAAGCGUUGUUCGGAAUUACUGGGCGUAAAGCGUGCGUAGGCGGUUUAUUAAGUCAGACGUGAAAGCCCUGGGCUUAACCCAGGAACUGCGUUUGAUACUGGUAAACUAGAGGACUGGAGAGGAGAGUGGAAUUCCUAGUGUAGAGGUGAAAUUCGUAGAGAUUAGGAAGAACACCAGUGGCGAAGGCGGCUCUCUGGCCAGUUUCUGACGCUGAGGCACGAAAGCGUGGGGAGCAAA